This 403-nucleotide ribosomal RNA is filed under the name uncultured bacterium. Its description in RNAcentral is "bacterial SSU rRNA". It matches the Rfam family "Bacterial small subunit ribosomal RNA", at positions 355 to 775 of the family's 1533-position model. The record is from RNAcentral.
UGGGGAAUAUUGGACAAUGGGCGCAAGCCUGAUCCAGCAAUGCCGCGUGGAUGAUGAAGGCCUUAGGGUUGUAAAGUCCUUUCGGCGGGGACGAUGAUGACGGUACCCGCAGAAGAAGCCCCGGCUAACUUCGUGCCAGCAGCCGCGGUAAUACGAAGGGGGCUAGCGUUGUUCGGAAUUACUGGGCGUAAAGGGCGCGUAGGCGGCCCUCCAAGUCAGAUGUGAAAGCCCCGGGCUUAACCUGGGAAUAGCAUUUGAGACUGAAGGGCUUGAGUUUCGGAGAGGUGGGUGGAAUUCCCAGUGUAGAGGUGAAAUUCGUAGAUAUUGGGAAGAACACCGGUGGCGAAGGCGGCCCACUGGACGAACACUGACGCUGAGGCGCGAAAGCGUGGGGAGCAAACAG